AACUAUAUAGUCUAAAAAAGAUAUUAAAUUGCAAGUUUAAAGAUAAAGGGUUUUUAUAGUUU
RNAcentral lists this transfer RNA (62 nucleotides) under Anthonomus eugenii (pepper weevil). RNAcentral describes it as "tRNA-Cys". The record is from RNAcentral. Lineage: Eukaryota; Metazoa; Arthropoda; Insecta; Coleoptera; Curculionidae.